This 451-nucleotide ribosomal RNA is filed under the name uncultured bacterium. Its description in RNAcentral is "bacterial SSU rRNA". It matches the Rfam family "Bacterial small subunit ribosomal RNA", at positions 354 to 796 of the family's 1533-position model. The record is from RNAcentral.
GUCGAGGAUCAUUUGCAAUGGGGGAAACCCUGACAAUGCGACGCUGCGUGCAGGAUGAAGGUCUUCGGAUUGUAAACUGCUGUCAUGAGGGAAAAGGACAGGGGGCCCAAUAAGCUCUCUCGUUUGAUUGUACUUCAAGAGGAAGUCGCGGCUAACUCUGUGCCAGCAGCCGCGGUAAUACAGAGGCGACGAGCGUUGUUCGGAUUUACUGGGCGUAAAGCGUGCGCAGGCGGUCGAUCAUGUCGGAUGUGAAAUCCCGGGGCUCACCCCCGGAAGUGCAUCUGAAACCGGUUGACUAGAGACUGGGAAGGGAGUUUGGAACACAUGGAGGAGCGGUGAAAUGCGUUGAUAUCAUGUGGAACACCGGUAGCGAAGGCGAAACUCUGGAACAGAUCUGACGCUCAUGCACGAAAGCGUGGGGAGCAAACAGGAUUAGAAACCCUAGUAGUCC